GCCGAGCCCUAGCAGGAUCCGCAGGACGGGGCCUCCCUGCCUUGUUCUGGCUCUUCUCCCUCAGAGCCAUCCUGCCCCUGCCAGUCCUCCUCUCCACCGCUGACUCUUCUGUCCAUGCUUCAGCUGACUCCCCAGGACCAUAGUGACCCUCCUCUGGCCUCCUCUGUGUGGGCUCUGAGCUGGGCCCUCAAGGGUCACAGAGACAAACCAGACACUUGUGCAAACUCCGUGCUGAAGAGCACUGGACGCUUGGGUGCUAGACCCGUUCUGUAAUAAUUCACUGUCAGGCAUGGGGCAGGAGGCUCUCCUAACCUGGGCUUCCGGAUCAGCCCCCAGCUGCACAGAGAAGCCUUUGGCCACAUCAGGAUGAGAGAGGAUCCAGAAUCCACGGCAGAUCUGCUUAGACUCCUGCUGGUUCACAAGUUCGGUAUCACCUAGGAACCUGACAGAAAUGCCAUCCUGGACCCAAUCCUAGAUGCACGGAAUCAGAAUCUGCAU
Long non-coding RNA from Ailuropoda melanoleuca (giant panda), 498 nucleotides. RefSeq lists it as uncharacterized. Lineage: Eukaryota; Metazoa; Chordata; Mammalia; Carnivora; Ursidae. The transcript has 3 exons. The record is from RefSeq and is a predicted model, not a curated record.